GAGGAAAGUCCGGGCUCUUUUUAAAGAUAUAUAGCUGUCUUAAAAGCAGUGUAAGUGAUUGCGAGGAUAGUGCCACAGAAAUAUACCGCCUUAUGAAAAGGUAAGGGUGCAAUGGUGCGGUAAGAGCGCACCAAACAUAUUAUUAAGAUCAUGUUUAGGUAAACCCCAUAAUAGAGCAAAGUUGUUAAUUUUUUCAUGUUCUUUAUCAUGUAAUUGUUAUUAAUUAACAUAUUAAUACUGCAAUAGGUUUCAAUUAUACUAAAGAUGAAUAAUUACCCUUGUAAGAUAUAUUAUAUUUGCAAGAACAAAAUCCGGCUUAC
This 320-nucleotide RNase P RNA is filed under the name Callithamnion tetricum. Its description in RNAcentral is "ribonuclease P RNA". It matches the Rfam family "Bacterial RNase P class A", at positions 43 to 352 of the family's 367-position model. From Rfam's summary of the family: Ribonuclease P (RNase P) is a ubiquitous endoribonuclease, found in archaea, bacteria and eukarya as well as chloroplasts and mitochondria. Its best characterised activity is the generation of mature 5'-ends of tRNAs by cleaving the 5'-leader elements of precursor-tRNAs. Lineage: Eukaryota; Rhodophyta; Florideophyceae; Ceramiales; Callithamniaceae. The record is from RNAcentral.